AGGACGAACGCUGGCGGCGUGCUUAAUACAUGCAAGUCGAACGAGGUCCAUCCAGUGGCAACACUGGUGAAGACCUAGUGGCGAACGGGUGAGUAACACGUGAGGAACCUGCCCCGAAGACCGGGAUAACCCUUCGAAAGGAGGGCUAAUACCGGAUACCCCCACCAGGUCGCAUGGCCAGGUGAGGAAAUGGAUUCCGCUUCGGGAGGGUCUCGCGGCCUAUCAGCUUGUUGGUGAGGUAACGGCUCACCAAGGCAUCGACGGGUAGCUGGUCUGAGAGGACGAUCAGCCACACUGGGACUGAGACACGGCCCAGACUCCUACGGGAGGCAGCAGUAGGGAAUCUUGCGCAAUGGGCGAAAGCCUGACGCAGCAACGCCGCGUGGGGAUGAAGGCUCUCGGGUUGUAAACCCCUUUCAGCAGGGACGAAAUUGACGGUACCUGCAGAAGAAGCCCGGCAACUACGUGCCAGCAGCCGCGGUAA
This 484-nucleotide ribosomal RNA is filed under the name uncultured bacterium. RNAcentral's name for it is "SSU rRNA". It matches the Rfam family "Bacterial small subunit ribosomal RNA", at positions 26 to 523 of the family's 1533-position model. The record is from RNAcentral.